AAAAGAACUGAGAGAAGUGACCAAGAGAAGAGACAAUCAACACUUCUCUCUCAAAUGAAACAUCUCUUUCUCUUUCUCUUUCUCUUCCUUUUCUCUUUUCUUCUCUCUUUUGUUGUUCUC
RNAcentral lists this non-coding RNA (120 nucleotides) under Paramoeba aestuarina. The record is from RNAcentral. Lineage: Eukaryota; Discosea; Flabellinia; Dactylopodida; Paramoebidae.